CCGGCUUUAGCUCAGUUGGUAGAGCGGAGGACUGUAGUCGUUAGACAGAUAUCCUUAGGUCGCUGGUUCGAAUCCGGCAAGCCGGA
This is a non-coding RNA of Morus notabilis, 86 nucleotides long. NCBI's taxonomy places the organism in Eukaryota, Viridiplantae, Streptophyta, Magnoliopsida, Rosales, Moraceae. The record is from Rfam.